CCUGGGCCGGCCUUUACUCUGUAGUGUAACCUUACAAGGAGGCAGGCAGCGAGAAGGGCAUAAAGGCAGAGAGGGGCUGGCAAGUAAUGACGGAAGAAGCUGGAAGCACAGCCUACCUGUCAGAUCACUUGAAAUACACGGAUAAGCAAUCCUGUUCGGUAAUUUAGAAAUGUUAAGACAACCAAACAGAGAGCUGUUGCAAGUGCCUGCAUGAGUACCAUGCGGUGGAAGAAUGCCGGGCUAGACUUCCGGCGCCUGAACUCCACGUCACGCUGCGGACUCCAUACGUGGCCAUGGCCACCAAGACAUGGCCGCCUCGCUUCUCUCCUCUAAAAUAAAGCUUUUAACUACUUGGUACCUGCCUUUGACUGACUGAACAAACAUCCAGGGAAUGACUGUUGCGUGUCAGGAUGAUGGGCCAAGUGAAGAAUCCAGAAUCAUGGUGUUCCGUUUGGAUAGCCUGUGGGC
Mirounga angustirostris (Northern elephant seal) is the source of this 468-nucleotide long non-coding RNA. RefSeq lists it as uncharacterized. The transcript is spliced from 4 exons. The record is from RefSeq and is a predicted model, not a curated record. Lineage: Eukaryota; Metazoa; Chordata; Mammalia; Carnivora; Phocidae.